GAUGAAGAACGCAGCGAAAUGCGAUAAGUAAUGUGAAUUGCAGAAUUCAGUGAAUCAUCGAAUCUUUGAACGCACAUUGCGCCCCUUGGUAUUCCGGGGGGCAUGCCUGUUCGAGCGUCAUUAUAACCCUCAAGCCUAGCUUGGUGUUGGAGCAUGCUACCUAAGCAGCUCUUAAAAUCAGUGGCAGUGCCCUUCGGCUCUAAGCGUAGUAACUUCUCUCGCUAUGGAACCCGGAGGGUACGCGCCAGAACCCCCAACUUUCUAUGGUUGACCUCGGAUCAGGUAGGGAUACCCGCUGAACUUAAGCAUAUCAAAAGCGGAGGA
RNAcentral lists this unclassified non-coding RNA (324 nucleotides) under soil metagenome. Its description in RNAcentral is "partial contains 5.8S ribosomal RNA, internal transcribed spacer 2, and large subunit ribosomal RNA". The stretch from base 1 to 120 matches the Rfam family "5.8S ribosomal RNA", at positions 35 to 154 of the family's 154-position model. The record is from RNAcentral.